CAGCCGUAAACGAUGCGCGUUAGGUGUAUCGACGACCACGAGUCGUCGAGGUGCCGAAGGGAAACCGUGAAACGUGCCGCCUGGGAAGUACGGUCGCAAGGCUGAAACUUAAAGGAAUUGGCGGGGGAGCACCACAACAGGUGGAGCCUGCGGUUUAAUUGGAUUCAACGCCGGACAUCUCACCGGAUAAGACAGCUGAAUGAUUGUCAAUCUGAAGGUUUUACAUGACUAGCUGAGAGGAGGUGCAUGGCGUCAGUGACU
Molecule: ribosomal RNA, 261 nt
Filed under: uncultured archaeon
Lineage: Archaea
Description: partial 16S ribosomal RNA
Rfam family: Archaeal small subunit ribosomal RNA
Source: RNAcentral